AGCAGUAGCCGCGGUAAUACAGAGGGUGCAAGCGUUAAUCGGAUUUACUGAGCGUAAAGGGCGCGUAGGUGGUUAUGUAAGUGAAAUGUGAAAUCCCCGGGCUCAACCUGGGAACUGCAUCUUAUACUGCGUAGCUGGAGUGCAGUAGAGGGUAGUGGAAUUUCCGGUGUAGCGGUGAAAUGCGUAGAUAUCGGAAGGAACACCAGUGGCGAAGGCGGCUACCUGGACUGACACUGACACUGAGGCGCGAAAGCGUGGGGAGCAAACAGGAUUAGAUACCCCGGUAGUCCCUGUCUCUUAUAC
Molecule: ribosomal RNA, 303 nt
Filed under: uncultured bacterium
Lineage: Bacteria
Description: partial 16S ribosomal RNA
Rfam family: Bacterial small subunit ribosomal RNA
Source: RNAcentral